This 425-nucleotide ribosomal RNA is filed under the name uncultured bacterium. RNAcentral describes it as "partial 16S ribosomal RNA". It matches the Rfam family "Bacterial small subunit ribosomal RNA", at positions 354 to 796 of the family's 1533-position model. The record is from RNAcentral.
GUAGGGAAUCUUGCGCAAUGGGCGAAAGCCUGACGCAGCCAUGCCGCGUGAAUGAUGAAGGUCUUAGGAUUGUAAAAUUCUUUCACCGGGGACGAUAAUGACGGUACCCGGAGAAGAAGCCCCGGCUAACUUCGUGCCAGCAGCCGCGGUAAUACGAAGGGGGCUAGCGUUGCUCGGAAUUACUGGGCGUAAAGGGAGCGUAGGCGGAUAGUUUAGUCAGAGGUGAAAGCCCAGGGCUCAACCUUGGAAUUGCCUUUGAUACUGGCUGUCUUGAGUUUGGGAGAGGUGAGUGGAACUCCGAGUGUAGAGGUGAAAUUCGUAGAUAUUCGGAAGAACACCAGUGGCGAAGGCGACUCACUGGCCCAAUACUGACGCUGAGGCGCGAAAGCGUGGGGAGCAAACAGGAUUAGAUACCCCUGUAGUCC